AGGAAUAAAAGAGAUGAGGGUGAAAUAAUAAAGAGACGAAGGUGAAAUAAUAAAGAGAUGAGGGUGAAAUAAUAAAGAGAUGAAGGUGAAAUAAUAAAGAGAUGAAGGUGAAAUAAUAAAGAGAUGAGGGUGAAAUAAUAAAAGGAUGAAGGUGAAAUAAUAAAGAGAUGAAGGUGAAAUAAUAAAGAGAUGAAGGUGAAAUAAUAAAGAGAUGAAGGUGAAAUAAUAAAGAGAUGAAGGUGAAAUAAUAAAAGGAUGAAGGUGAAAUAAUAAAGAGACGAGGGUGAAAUAAUAAAGGGAUGAAGG
Molecule: long non-coding RNA, 306 nt
Organism: Pungitius pungitius (ninespine stickleback)
Lineage: Eukaryota; Metazoa; Chordata; Actinopteri; Perciformes; Gasterosteidae
Exons: 3
Source: RefSeq, a predicted model, not a curated record